RNAcentral lists this ribosomal RNA (254 nucleotides) under uncultured bacterium. Its description in RNAcentral is "partial 16S ribosomal RNA". It matches the Rfam family "Archaeal small subunit ribosomal RNA", at positions 474 to 727 of the family's 1478-position model. The record is from RNAcentral.
CACCGGCGGCUCGAGUGGUAACCGUUAUUAUUGGGUCUAAAGGGUCUGUAGCCGGCCGGAUAAGUCUCUUGGGAAAUCUGGCAGCUUAACUGUCGGGCUUUCAGGAGAUACUGUUCGGCUCGAGGCCGGGAGAGGUGAGAGGUACUUCAGGGGUAGGGGUGAAAUCUUGUAAUCCUUGAAGGACCACCAGUGGCGAAGGCGUCUCACCAGAACGGACCUGACGGCAAGGGACGAAAGCUAGGGGCACGAACCGG